Molecule: non-coding RNA, 72 nt
Organism: Triticum aestivum (bread wheat)
Lineage: Eukaryota; Viridiplantae; Streptophyta; Magnoliopsida; Poales; Poaceae
Source: Rfam
GCCCGUCUGCUCAGUUGGUAAAGCAAAAGGCUCUUAACCUUGUGGACGUGAGUUCAAGCCCCAUGAUGGGGG